Molecule: long non-coding RNA, 2286 nt
Filed under: Sorghum bicolor (sorghum)
Lineage: Eukaryota; Viridiplantae; Streptophyta; Magnoliopsida; Poales; Poaceae
Description: long non-coding RNA (SBIC_LNC013634)
Source: RNAcentral
CGCAGAGUUUGAUCAAACUGGUAUACUAGCCGUGCUCUCGGACAUGAGCGGCUUUGGACCCUUACGGAAUAGUUGGGUAUGGAUGGUUAUGGGGAAUAACUAAUGAAAAUCUGACGUAUUGAUCGUGAUGAUUAAUGUGGUUUAACCAUGAUGGUGAUAGUGUUAGCCGUGAAGGUUAACGGUGUUAUUAUCAUGUACUCAUUUGGGCUAAUUGGGAGCUUAAGCAUAAUUGAUGAUUAAAUAGGAUUAAAACAUUGACCAAUUAAAAUGCUAACUGCAGUAGCCAGUGUCUGACCUUUUUGAGCCGCAUAAAAUCCUAUGUUAUGCUUGCGGAGUACGAGAUGUACUCACGCUUGUCUUUAUCUUUCUUUUGGACAAAAUCCCGGAUGGGUAGCAGAUGACAGCUUCUACGAGGAAUUUCCUGAGGACUUCUAGGUUGGCGAUCCCCCAGUCGGUCGUCCCUGUGUUGGAGUUAUCUUUCAUAGCUAGUAUGAGUUUAUUUUCCGUUUGUCGCAGACUUUGAUAUAAUUGUGUUGUAAUAACGUAUUGUAAGGCACUUGUUAUGAUACAUUUGUAAUUUGUCGACUUGUGUGCGCGACUAUUCCUGGGGCGCACAUGAGAUUAUUGUACUCAAAUUUAUCCUUAAAUUUGGGUGUGACAAAAGAUAGAUAGAAAUACUUAUCGGGAUAAAUGGGGGUGCUCUCCCCCAAGCUGAAUUUUGACGUAAUUUCUCUUGAUGUAGCUAGCAGGUGGCAGAGGUGUAUUUGAAAGUCAGCAACAUUCUGACAACGAUUAGAAUGUCCUCCGUCUGCUAGUCUUCUUGAUUCUUAAAUUCUGCGGAGCUCAAAUAGACAACAAAGCUUGUGGAACUGAUUAAGUGUUAGCAUAAAUAUCUAGCCUUUAUCAUGUUGAGACUCCUUGAUAAUUAUUACUCCCUAUUUUUUUAUAUUUUUAUUUUAUAAAGCAGAAAAAGAAAUAUUUAUUUUAUUUUUUAUGCCACCACAGUGAACGUACUUAUGGGUUUUAUGCCACUCAUAUACUCACAUGGGGCUUACUGUUUUUCAAAUUUUAUUUUCUUUUUAGGAUAGUAUGAAUAUGAUUAUCUAAAUAAACUAUUUUAAAAUAAUUGAAAUAAUUGAAAGGGAAAAGAUAACUACCAAGUUUACCUCUUGGCAAGGCGUUCGGUGUUUUUAAGUCCUCCGAACAGGACUCUCCAUUUUUUCAAUUGUCCUGAGGUUUGUUGAGUGGCGUAGUCGGUACUUCCGGCAGCGCCUCCUCUUCUUGUAUAGUUAUCUUCAUUUGCCAUACCUGACUCGGUGCUUCAAUCUCCUCUGGAUAAUUCUGUUUAAACUCUACGUCUUCUGACCUUACAACUUCUCCUUCAUAGUCUGCCAUCCGUCCUUGAUGAUUUGCCUCCUCUGGUUGCGGUUGCGUCGCUUUCUUACCUGCUUAGAUUCUUUAAUGAUAUAGUUAGGGUCAGUAAAAUAACGGCGUACCUUUUCUGAGGGGAAGUGCAUAUGGACUUCUCCGGUUCCAAUGUAGAUUAUUGCCUUAACAGUGCUGAGGAACGGUCUUCCAAGGAUGAUGGGUGGAUCAUACUCGUCUUCUCCCAUGUCAAUAACUUGAAAGUCUGUGUAGACAAAGUGAUCGUCUAUUUUGACUGGGACAUCAGUUACUGUUCCUUUAACUUCUCAAAAUGUCUGAUCUGCAAUCUGGAGCUGAAUGUAUGUUGGUCUUAGUGGCAUGGUCCCGAACAAGAGCCGAUAGGUGACUACGGCCAUUAUGUUGACGCCCGAUCCGGUAUCGCAAAUCGUCUUGUAAAAGCUAUAUCCAUGUAUGGAGCAGUAGAUGUUUGGCAUUCCGGGGUCGUCCUUCUUGGUCAAAAAUGGUGACUUAAGUUGUUGAUCUUGACCUCCAUGAACUACAGUGACCAUCUUAGCUGACUCGGUCCACACUUGCUUGUUCCUGAUUCUCCUAUUGGUCCUUUUUCUUGAUUCACGUCUGGAUUGAUCUGGAAUUUGUGUAGUCUUGUUCUUGAAGAAAAAUGUUUCCUUCCUCCCUUUGACGUAGAAACUGAUCUUGGCAGCACUAGCGUAGAUGAUAGCUCCCGUGGUGUUCAAGAAUGGCCUCCCUAGGAUGAUAGGUGCUCUCUCAUCAUUUCCGGUCUCUACCACUACGAAGUCUGCUGGGGCAUAUAAGGUACCAACUCGGACAAAAGGUUCUUCAAUAUUCCCUUUGGAAAAGUUAUUGUCUGAUCUGCAAACUGCAAACACAUGGUUGUCUCUA